This 253-nucleotide ribosomal RNA is filed under the name uncultured bacterium. RNAcentral's name for it is "partial 16S ribosomal RNA". It matches the Rfam family "Bacterial small subunit ribosomal RNA", at positions 524 to 776 of the family's 1533-position model. The record is from RNAcentral.
UACGUAGGGUGCGAGCGUUAAUCGGAAUUACUGGGCGUAAAGCGUGCGCAGGCGGUUUUGUAAGCCAGAUGUGAAAUCCCCGGGCUUAACCUGGGAAUGGCAUUUGGGACUGCAAGGCUGGAGUGCGGCAGAGGAGACUGGAAUUCCUGGUGUAGCAGUGAAAUGCGCAGAUAUCAGGAGGAACACCGGUGGCGAAGGCGGAUCUCUGGGCCUUACCUGACGCUCAGGUGCGAAAGCUAGGGGAGCGAACAGG